UCGGCUUAAGUGCCAUAACGAGCGCAACCCUUAUCACUAGUUACUAACAGGUUAAGCUGAGGACUCUGGUGAGACUGCCAGCGUAAGCUGUGAGGAAGGUGGGGAUGACGUCAAAUCAGCACGGCCCUUACAUCCGGGGCGACACACGUGUUACAAUGGCAUGGACAAAGGGCAGCUACCUGGCGACAGGAUGCUAAUCUCUAAACCAUGUCUCAGUUCGGAUCGGAGUCUGCAACUCGACUCCGUGAAGCUGGAUUCGCUAGUAAUCGCGCAUCAGCCAUGGCGCGGUGAAUACGUUCCCGGGCCUUGUACACACCGCCCGUCAAGCCAUGGGAGCCGGGGGUACCUGAAGUCCGUAACCGCAAGGAUCGGCCUAGGGUAAAACUGGUGACUGGGGCUAAGUCGUAACAAGGUAGCCGUACC
This 423-nucleotide ribosomal RNA is filed under the name Parabacteroides johnsonii. Its description in RNAcentral is "bacterial SSU rRNA". It matches the Rfam family "Bacterial small subunit ribosomal RNA", at positions 1075 to 1506 of the family's 1533-position model. Lineage: Bacteria; Pseudomonadati; Bacteroidota; Bacteroidia; Bacteroidales; Tannerellaceae. The record is from RNAcentral.